GUAUAAGAGACAGCAGUAGCCGCGGGAAUACAGAGGGUGCGAGCGUUAAUCGGAUUUACUGGGCGUAAAGCGUGCGUAGGCGGCUUCUUAAGUCGGAUGUGAAAUCCCUGAGCUUAACUUAGGAAUUGCAUUCGAUACUGGGAAGCUAGAGUAUGGGAGAGGAUGGUAGAAUUCCAGGUGUAGCGGUGAAAUGCGUAGAGAUCUGGAGGAAUACCGAUGGCGAAGGCAGCCAUCUGGCCUAAUACUGACGCUGAGGUACGAAAGCAUGGGGAGCAAACAGGAUUAGAGACCCGAGUAGUCCCUGUCUCUUAUAC
This 314-nucleotide ribosomal RNA is filed under the name uncultured bacterium. RNAcentral's name for it is "partial 16S ribosomal RNA". It matches the Rfam family "Bacterial small subunit ribosomal RNA", at positions 495 to 807 of the family's 1533-position model. The record is from RNAcentral.